This 468-nucleotide ribosomal RNA is filed under the name uncultured bacterium. Its description in RNAcentral is "partial 16S ribosomal RNA". It matches the Rfam family "Bacterial small subunit ribosomal RNA", at positions 28 to 507 of the family's 1533-position model. The record is from RNAcentral.
GACGAACGCUGGCGGCGUGCUUAACACAUGCAAGUCGAACGGAAAGGCCCUGCUUUUGUGGGGUGCUCGAGUGGCGAACGGGUGAGUAACACGUGAGUAACCUGCCCUUGACUUUGGGAUAACUUCAGGAAACUGGGGCUAAUACCGGAUAGGAGCUCCUGCUGCAUGGUGGGGGUUGGAAAGUUUCGGCGGUUGGGGAUGGACUCGCGGCCUAUCAGCUUGUUGGUGGGGUAGUGGCUUACCAAGGCUUUGACGGGUAGCCGGCCUGAGAGGGUGACCGGCCACAUUGGGACUGAGAUGCGGCCCAGACUACUACGGGAGGCAGCAGUGGGGUAUAGUGCACUAGAGGCGGAAGCCUGAUGCAGCAACGCCGCGUGCGGGAUGACAGCCUUCGGGUUGUAUACCGCUUUCGCCUGUGACGAAACGUGAGUGACGGUAAUGGGUAAAGAAGCACCGGCUAACUACGUG